Molecule: ribosomal RNA, 147 nt
Filed under: Ichthyosporea sp.
Lineage: Eukaryota; Ichthyosporea
Description: partial small subunit ribosomal RNA
Rfam family: Eukaryotic small subunit ribosomal RNA
Source: RNAcentral
AGUUGGUGGAGUGAUUUGUCUGGUUAAUUCCGUUAACGAACGAGACCUUAACCUACUAAAUAGUUACGUCAUUUCCGAAUGACGGAUAACUUCUUAGAGGGACUGCUAGGCGUUAUCAAGCCAGCGGAAGUUUGAGGCAAUAACAGG